Molecule: ribosomal RNA, 433 nt
Filed under: uncultured bacterium
Lineage: Bacteria
Description: partial 16S ribosomal RNA
Rfam family: Bacterial small subunit ribosomal RNA
Source: RNAcentral
AACGAACGCUGGCGGCAUGCCUAACACAUGCAAGUCGAACGAGACCUUCGGGUCUAGUGGCGCACGGGUGCGUAACGCGUGGGAACCUGCCCUUAGGUUCGGAAUAACUCCCCGAAAGGGGUGCUAAUACCGGAUAAUGUCUUCGGACCAAAGAUUUAUCGCCUUUGGAUGGGCCCGCGUUGGAUUAGCUAGUUGGUAGGGUAAAAGCCUACCAAGGCGACGAUCCAUAGCUGGUCUGAGAGGAUGAUCAGCGACACUGGGACUGAGACACGGCCCAGACUCCUACGGGAGGCAGCAGUGGGGAAUAUAGGACAAUGGGCGAAAGGCUGAUCCAGCAAUGCCGCGUGAGUGAUGAAGGCCUUAGGGUUGUAAAGCUCUUUUAACCGGGAUGAUAAUGACAGUACCGGGAGAAUAAGCUCCGGCUAACUCCGUG